ACAAACUUGGUCAUUUAGAGGAAGUAAAAGUCGUAACAAGGUCUCCGUUGGUGAACCAGCGGAGGGAUCAUUACCGAGUCUUCGACGCUCAAACCCUACCGUGAACCCGAACCUGUUGCUUCGGCGGGACUACCACUCCCUUUCUUAGAGGGGGAGGAGGGGCGCCCGCCGAAGGUAUACCACAAAAGGCUCUACAGCGGCGCUACCGCCGCGAGAUUAUUAUCUUCUGAAUUUGCUUCCAAAAAAAAGUCAAAACUUUCAACAACGGAUCUCUUGGUUCUGGCAUCGAUGAAGAACGCAGC
This 302-nucleotide unclassified non-coding RNA is filed under the name uncultured fungus. RNAcentral describes it as "partial contains small subunit ribosomal RNA, internal transcribed spacer 1, and 5.8S ribosomal RNA". The stretch from base 1 to 73 matches the Rfam family "Eukaryotic small subunit ribosomal RNA", at positions 1759 to 1831 of the family's 1831-position model. Lineage: Eukaryota; Fungi. The record is from RNAcentral.